AUGCUGGCUGUGCAUGCACAGCAGGGGGAUGUCCAGACGGUUAACGGGUUGUUCCAGGAGAUGAUGGACUCGUACUUUGAGCCUGAUGGGCUGACGUUUCUUGCUCUUCUCACACCAUGUAGUAAUGCCGGUGCAGCAAGAGAGGCCGACUUUUGGUUGAAAGCAAUGCAUUCAAAGUACAAGGUGAAUCCUGGUCUUGAACAUUACACAUGUGUGAUUGGUGGAAUGGCUCGGGCGGGACGCCUUGAGGAUGCGGACAUCAUUGCAUCUACAAUUGCGUGCAAGCCAGAUGCAGCUGUGUGGCGGACACUCCUAACAGGUUGUGUGGUUCACCACAAGGCUGAUAUGGCGGGAAUCAUGGAGCAGUGCCUAUUGAAAAUUGACGCAAAGGAUAAUUCAGCCUAUGUGAUGCUUGCCAAUGUCGACUCCACAACAGUAAGGAAGGAUGAGGUGGCUGAGGCAUGGACUGCAAUGAGGGACUUCGGAAUCAGAAAAGAAGUCAGGUCGAAGUUGGAUUGA
This 519-nucleotide ribosomal RNA is filed under the name Triticum aestivum (bread wheat). RNAcentral describes it as "partial small subunit ribosomal RNA". The record is from RNAcentral. Lineage: Eukaryota; Viridiplantae; Streptophyta; Magnoliopsida; Poales; Poaceae.